GGAAAAGGUAAGCCGCCUGGUAGAAAUUUUCAGCUACUCGAGGAUUUUUGUUGUUGUUUUGGAAAUUCCAAAGAAGAAAGCUUGAAUUCCUUUUAAUAUUAUCACGAAUAUGCAAAAAUAGCUGGACACCCUCAAAUUCCAAUAAAGUGCGUUCUUGUCAGAUGUGAAGACGAUCGUUUGGUCGUGAAAGUACAGAGUCAUGCGGAUAGGAAAUGAUACCACCGGAGAAUUCACAGCUCUGGUUGUCUAUGGUGUGAUUUUGCUGGUUGCAGUACACGUAGCAGCAUUAGGAUUCUGGGUCUAUAGGAUUAUCCGGCCACCUGACAUGGACAAUACCUCAAGACUUCACCCAUCUAAUUCCAAAGCAGAGAAAGUACACUGACAGGAUAUUAUCAAGCUAUAGUGUACACUAUAUCCAUAGCAAGUGAUAUGUUUUGUUGGGCUAUUUCAUCUUGGUGUUCACAUGUUGAUGUAAUAUUUUAUAUUAUUUAAAUGGUGUAUUAUUGGACAUUCCUUAGAAUUUGAAAUAUUGAGUUAUAAUCAUGUGGCACAGCUUUUUACCAAAGCAGCCUGAUAUACAGUUUCUAGCUGCGACAUUCCUAUAUUCAUGGGGAAAUCUUUAUAAAACAACGUAUGCUGAAUAGAAGGCCACAAAAUAGCCCAAAAAAAUGUUUGCAAAUAGAAGCAUAUCCGACCAUAAACUUUGUUAGUUUGUUGAAUUUCCUUCCAGUUUCAGUAAAGACAAGAGAAAUGGAGAUAAGCACAAAUAGGGCAGUCACAAGUUUUGGUGGCAAGGAAAUGAAAGUAUGCAUCACUUCUUAGGGGGUCUCUUAUGCUCCCUUGGGGACAUUCACAGGUUUGAAACCCCAAAUCAGAAGAACUGCAAUUGUCUUGAUUUCCAUACUGGUGAUCCCAAAGAAGGUUGCCUUACAAAAAUAACUGUUUCUUUUGGUAAGGCAUUCAAAAAAACCGCCAGCUCCCUCAACAAAGUAUCACAUCCCUUUAGAAUGCCUUAACAUCUGCUGUAUGGUUCCUAGACAUUGAAGAACUGUUAUCUUGCCACCAUGCUCAAAUUAGGCCUGUUGGCUGCGGACCAGGGUUGCAGGGGGCUACACUUUCCAUGCCUUUGUGUUUUAGAUAAGUAUUAUAAUAAAACUGUGAGGAGAUCAAAUGUUUUGCUUCCCCCGCAAAAUGCCUGUAAUAAAAAUAAUUACAAGGUCA
Long non-coding RNA from Nematostella vectensis (starlet sea anemone), 1221 nucleotides. RefSeq lists it as uncharacterized. The record is from RefSeq and is a predicted model, not a curated record. Lineage: Eukaryota; Metazoa; Cnidaria; Anthozoa; Actiniaria; Edwardsiidae. The transcript is spliced from 3 exons.